GGUAGGCAAAGAUCCGCAGCGGAUUGAGGGUGGGAUCCGCAACGAUCCGCACGCGGCCCAGGUUGGCAUCGUACAGCCCUCCCCAAAAGAGAGCCUUGGCCACCAGCAGCCAUGCACCCAGCCCCAGCAGCAGCAGGUGGAUGCCGAGGAUGGUGGUCAUCUUGUCGUCAUCUUCCCA
Molecule: non-coding RNA, 178 nt
Organism: Synechococcus sp. JA-2-3B'a(2-13)
Lineage: Bacteria; Bacillati; Cyanobacteriota; Cyanophyceae; Synechococcales; Synechococcaceae
Rfam family: Antisense RNA which regulates isiA expression
Source: Rfam